CCUACGGGGGGCAGCAGUGGGGAAUAUUGCGCAAUGGGCGAAAGCCUGACGCAGCGACGCCGCGUGAGGGAUGAAGGUCUUCGGAUUGUAAAGCUCUGUCAGCAGGGAAGAACGGUCACUGUGCUAAUCAACAGGGCAUUGACGGUACCUGCACAGGAAGCACCGGCUAACUCCGUGCCAGCAGCCGCGGUAAUACGGAGGGUGCGAGCGUUAAUCGGAAUUACUGGGCGUAAAGCGCUCGUAGGCGGUAGGUCAAGUCAAGGGUGAAAUCCCCGCGCUCAACGUGGGAACUGCCUUUGAAACUGGCAAACUGGAGUGUGGGAGAGGAUAGUGGAAUUCCUGGUGUAGGAGUGAAAUGCGUAGAUAUCAGGAGGAACAUCAGUGGCGAAGGCGACUAUCUGGCACAUAACUGACGCUGAGGAGCGAAAGCGUGGGUAGCAAACAGGAUUAGAUACCCGAGUAGUC
RNAcentral lists this ribosomal RNA (465 nucleotides) under uncultured bacterium. RNAcentral describes it as "partial 16S ribosomal RNA". It matches the Rfam family "Bacterial small subunit ribosomal RNA", at positions 338 to 795 of the family's 1533-position model. The record is from RNAcentral.